Molecule: ribosomal RNA, 464 nt
Filed under: uncultured bacterium
Lineage: Bacteria
Description: partial 16S ribosomal RNA
Rfam family: Bacterial small subunit ribosomal RNA
Source: RNAcentral
ACGAACGCUGGCGGCGUGCUUAACACAUGCAAGUCGAACGGAAAGGCCCCUUUGGGGGUACUCGAGUGGCGAACGGGUGAGUAACACGUGAGUAACCUGCCCUUGACUUCGGGAUAACUUCAGGAAACUGGGGCUAAUACCGGAUAGGAAUCCUUGCUGCAUGGUGGGGGUUUGAAAGCUUCGGCGGUUUUGGAUGGACUCGCGGCUUAUCAGCUUGUUGGUGGGGUAGUGGCUUACCAAGGCUUUGACGGGUAGCCGGCCUGGGAGGGCGACCGGCCACAUUGGGACUGAGAUACGGCCCAGACUCCUACGGGAGGCAGAAGUGGGGAAUAUUGCACAAUGGGCGGAAGCCUGAUGCAGCAACGCCGCGUGCGGGAUGACGGCCUUCGGGUUGUAAACCGCUUUCAGCAGGGGCGAAGCUUGUGGUGACGGUACCUGCAGAAGAAGCACCGGCUAACUACGUG